Non-coding RNA from Triticum aestivum (bread wheat), 115 nucleotides. The record is from Rfam. Lineage: Eukaryota; Viridiplantae; Streptophyta; Magnoliopsida; Poales; Poaceae.
CUGAUACUUUCUUUGUUCUAAAUUACUCGUCGCUGAAAUGGAUGUAUCUAGAACUAAAAUACAUCUAGAUACAUCCAUACGUGCGACAAGUAAUUCGGAACAGAGAGAGUACUUG